RNAcentral lists this ribosomal RNA (253 nucleotides) under uncultured bacterium. RNAcentral describes it as "partial 16S ribosomal RNA". It matches the Rfam family "Bacterial small subunit ribosomal RNA", at positions 524 to 776 of the family's 1533-position model. The record is from RNAcentral.
UACGUAGGGAGCAAGCGUUGUCCGGAUUUACUGGGCGUAAAGCGCGUGUAGGCGGCUUUGCAAGUCGGAUGUGAAAGCCCACGGCUCAACCGUGGAAGUGCAUCCGAAACUGCAUGGCUUGAGUCUCGGAGAGGAAGGUGGAAUGCUUGGUGUAGAGGUGAAAUUCGUAGAUAUCAAGCAGAACACCUGCGGCGAAGGCGGCCCUCUGGACGAUGACUGACGCUGAGACGCGAAAGCGUGGGGAGCAAACAGG